UAAUACGGAGGGUGCAAGCGUUAAUCGGAAUUACUGGGCGUAAAGGGUGCGUAGGUGGGAUAAUAAGUUAGCUGUGAAAUCCCUGGGCUCAACCUGGGAAGGUCAGCUAAGACUGUUAACCUAGAGUAUAGGAGAGGGUAGUGGAAUUUCCGGUGUAGCGGUGAAAUGCGUAGAGAUCGGAAGGAACACCAGUGGCGAAGGCGGCUACCUGGCCUGAUACUGACACUGAGGCACGAAAGCGUGGGGAGCAAACAGGAUUAGAUACCCUGGUAGUCCACGCUGUAAACGAUGUCAACUAGCUGUUGGUCUUAUGAAUGAGAUUAGUGGCGCAGCAAACGCGAUAAGUUGACCGCCUGGGGAGUACGGUCGCAAGAUUA
This 377-nucleotide ribosomal RNA is filed under the name uncultured bacterium. Its description in RNAcentral is "bacterial SSU rRNA". It matches the Rfam family "Bacterial small subunit ribosomal RNA", at positions 521 to 896 of the family's 1533-position model. The record is from RNAcentral.